UACGUAGGGGGCAAGCGUUGUCCGGAAUCAUUGGGCGUAAAGCGCGCGUAGGCGGCCAGAUAAGUCCGGUGUGAAAGUCAAAGGCUCAACCUUUGAAUGCCGCUGGAAACUGUCUGGCUAGAGUCCGGAAGGGGCGAGUGGAACUCCUGGUGUAGCGGUGAAAUGCGCAGAUAUCAGGAAGAACACCAAUGGCGAAGGCAGCUCGCUAGGACGGUACUGACGCUGAGGCGCGAAAGCGUGGGGAGCGAACAGG
This 253-nucleotide ribosomal RNA is filed under the name uncultured bacterium. RNAcentral describes it as "partial 16S ribosomal RNA". It matches the Rfam family "Bacterial small subunit ribosomal RNA", at positions 524 to 776 of the family's 1533-position model. The record is from RNAcentral.